UACGUAGGGCGCAAGCGUUGUCCGGAAUUAUUGGGCGUAAAGAGCUCGUAGGCGGUGUGUCGCGUCGGCCGUGAAAACCUGGGGCUUAACUCUGGGCGUGCGGUCGAUACGGGCAUCACUGGAGUUCGGCAGGGGAGACUGGAAUUCCUGGUGUAGCGGUGAAAUGCGCAGAUAUCAGGAGGAACACCGGUGGCGAAGGCGGGUCUCUGGGCCGAUACUGACGCUGAGGAGCGAAAGCAUGGGUAGCGAACAGG
RNAcentral lists this ribosomal RNA (254 nucleotides) under uncultured bacterium. Its description in RNAcentral is "partial 16S ribosomal RNA". It matches the Rfam family "Bacterial small subunit ribosomal RNA", at positions 524 to 776 of the family's 1533-position model. The record is from RNAcentral.